GGACCCGACUGCUAUUUGGGUGAGGAUAAGCCAUGCGAGUUGAAUGGGAAACCUAAAGUUCCCAUGGCAAACUGCUCAGUAACACAUGAUCAACUUACCCUAUAGAGAAAAAUAACCUCGGGAAACUGAGGAUAAUGUUUCAUAGUUGAAUUGGCUUGGAAAAGUUUUUCGACAAAAGGGGUAAAAAAAAUGGUUUUUAUCUGCUAUAGGAUAGGAUCGUGUUCGAUUAUGGUUGUUGGUGAGGUAAUGGCUCACCAAGCCGAUAAUCGAUAGGGGCCGUGAGAGCGGGAGCCCCGAGAUGGGUACUGAGACAACGACCCAGGCCUUACGAGGCGCAGCAGGCGCGAAACCUCCGCAAUACACGAAAGUGUGACGGGGUUACCCAAAGUGUUCAAUUUUGAACUGUGGUAGGUGAGUAAUGUUCCCUACUAGAAAGGAGAGGGCAAGGCUGGUGCCAGCCGCCGCGGUAAAACCAGCUCUUCAAGUGGUCGGGAUAAUUAUUGGGCUUAAAGUGUCCGUAGCCGGUUUAGUAAGUUCCUGGUAAAAUCGGGUAGCUUAACUAUCUAUAUGCUAGGAAUACUACUAUACUAGAGGGCGGGAGAGGUCUGAGGUACUACAGGGGUAGGGGUGAAAUCUUAUAAUCCUUGUUGGACCACCAGUGGCGAAGGCGUCAGACUGGAACGCGCCUGACGGUGAGGGACGAAAGCCAGGGGAGCGAACCGGAUUAGAUACCCGGGUAGUCCUGGCCGUAAACGAUGCAUACUAGGUGAUGGCACGGCCAUGAGCCGUGUCAGUGCCGUAGGGAAACCGUUAAGUGUGCCGCCUGGGAAGUACGGUCGCAAGGCUAAAACUUAA
RNAcentral lists this ribosomal RNA (855 nucleotides) under uncultured crenarchaeote. RNAcentral describes it as "bacterial SSU rRNA". It matches the Rfam family "Archaeal small subunit ribosomal RNA", at positions 19 to 859 of the family's 1478-position model. The record is from RNAcentral. Lineage: Archaea; Thermoproteati; Thermoproteota.